UCUUGAAAGUCGUAGAGGACGUUAAACCGAGUCCGUGGACAUGUGAUACACCUAAAUCGGAGUUCGUAUGCAAAAGUUAUGAGUGAAUUACGAAAAUUACUGUUCAUGGUAAAUUUUUGAUAUAUAUGGAAAGUUACCCGGGUAGGUUUCCAAAACCGGAAACCCACCCCUCUUUCUCUCUCCUCUCCCCCGACUCUCCCCCUUUCUCCUUCGGGUUUUCUUCCUCCCUCCGAUUCCUCACAUUCCGGCCACCAUCCGGCGUGCAACCGGUCACCACAGGGGCGCCACAACCCGCUCGUGAUACCAGUGACCUGGGAUUGGGGAGUUUUGGCCGUGAAAGCCCGGAUCGAAGCAAGAAGUGCUCCGGUUGCAGUUUUGGGAUUUUGCCGAUUCCCGGCCAUUCCGGCCACCUCCGGCCACCAUAUUCCCAUCGAAGGGUUCUUGGAGCUUCGGGGCUUUCCUUCACCGGCUUGAUUCGACCACGUCGAGGUAAAAUUGGUUGAUGUUGUAGUUGAGAAGUUGGUUGGGCUUGUUGUAUAGAUGCUAGUGCCGGAGUUUGGUGGUCAUCGGAGGAGGUCGCCGCCGGCGCGUGGUCCCCACGCGCCGCCACUGUGGGUAGCGCGUGGAGGCGCGUAGAGCAGUGUUUUAAUUCCGGUUUUUAGCCCAUUAAAUCCUAUUAAUUGUGUAGAGCUUGUAUGUGAAAUUUGGUAAUUUUUGGAGAAACUUAGAAUUAUAUAUGGAUUUUGAAAUUUAAGGUUUCGAUUAUCGAAUUACGAGAAUCCGACCGUCGGAUAUCUCUCGGUUCUGCCUUGGAACCUUUAAAUUAACGAAUUGGUAUUAGUGGUAUAAUUUGGGCUAAAUCCUAGGAGAAUGGAAGAUGUAAUUAUGAGGAAUUGAUUUUAAGAAUCGUAUUAAAUUGUUGAAGAAUUAAUCACGGAGUAUAAUUAUGUACAGGACGACGUACCGAGCUAUUGCUCGAUAACGGAACACGAAUGCGUGAUCGUCGGAAUAGUACUUUUGCAGGCGAAUUAGUGGAGGUCGGGCGUACAUGACAUUUGAGGCAUAAUUGUCACCACUUCCGCAUUGUAGGAUCCCUUGAUCAUUUACUCUACUUUUUUAUUUCCUUGUGAAUUAGUAUUGCUCUGAUAACCUUUGGGAUUUGUAUUGUUAAGUUGAGUUUUGUGUUUUGCGAGUUGGGGAAUGUUGUUUGGGGGAGCAGGGUGGCUCCAGGAGAAUAAGGAUGGGUGAUUUAGAAGUGUAAAUUUUCUUUCUACAGGUUUUGGGUUGUCCACUUUAGGGGAAGUUCUGCCAAAUUUUUGGCAAAAUUUCUUCUAAGGUGGG
Molecule: long non-coding RNA, 1341 nt
Organism: Rosa rugosa (rugosa rose)
Lineage: Eukaryota; Viridiplantae; Streptophyta; Magnoliopsida; Rosales; Rosaceae
Exons: 3
Source: RefSeq, a predicted model, not a curated record